This 888-nucleotide long non-coding RNA is filed under the name Hordeum vulgare. RNAcentral's name for it is "long non-coding RNA (HVUL_LNC016295)". The record is from RNAcentral. Lineage: Eukaryota; Viridiplantae; Streptophyta; Magnoliopsida; Poales; Poaceae.
UAUAAUUGAUUUACAUAUACAAAAUGAAGCCUUAUAUAUUACACUCGAAAACAGAGUAGGACUCAUUCACUAAUUAGCACCAAAAAAAGUAUGUGAUAGAUCAACUUGUACAUAAAACAUUGCAUGUAGUUUAUCAUAGCUUGGAUGUAUCGGGAGCAUUCAAUGCGUAUACGUCAAAUCCGAUGAUCAAAGGCCAAAUAUCAAUCCAUCGUUCCAGAUCACCUCGCAUGGCUGAGCUUCUUGCGUCCCAAAGACAAUGUACUCCCGAGCUUGCAGCGUUGGAGAGAUCUAAGUCAGUGCACAAGGAACAGGGAAGAAGCGCCAGCUUCACGCAGUUGCCGGAGCCUCACACAUUAACUGGACAUUGGUCAAGAACCACGGCUAGCUCGCCUGGCACUGAUGUGUGUGGACGAUGGGGAAGCUAGCAACUCGGAUGCAUCCAUCUGUGGUCACCAGGGCAUGCAUAUAUACUGUUUCAUGUGAUUAGUCGGUGAGAUUCAAUUACAACCAACGAGUAGAGAUUAAUACGUAGAAGUGUAGGCAUAAAAAGUGGCGCCUAUGAUGAGUUAGAAACCUCAACGAUCACUCGAUCAGAGUGAUCGUUCUUGUUGCCGCCGCCCGCCGGUCAGCGAAUGGAAGGCGGAAGCAUCACAUAUAUUGCUGUCGUGGCAUUGCCAUUGACAUCACCGUCUGUGUUCAUGUCGUCGGCGCCGACAAUCGCCAUCGCCCGUGCCAUCACCGUCGUCGUGGCCGGCGCCGUCGAUGGUCUAUUUUAAGCGAGGGCGAUGAUUUCCGUCGGAGCCAUCGCCCCUCGAGAACUUGUACACGUAUGCUAGAUAAAUAAAGUGAGUUGCCAGAAUCUCUAUUAAUGUGGACGAUCUAACAAAU